Molecule: ribosomal RNA, 305 nt
Filed under: uncultured bacterium
Lineage: Bacteria
Description: bacterial SSU rRNA
Rfam family: Bacterial small subunit ribosomal RNA
Source: RNAcentral
ACCUACGGGGGGCAGCAGUGAGGAAUAUUGGUCAAUGGACGAGAGUCUGAACCAGCCAAGUAGCGUGAAGGAUGACUGCCCUAUGGGUUGUAAACUUCUUUUAUAUGGGAAUAAAAUGUUCCACGUGUGGGAUUUUGUAUGUACCAUAUGAAUAAGGAUCGGCUAACUCCGUGCCAGCAGCCGCGGUAAUACGGAGGAUCCGAGCGUUAUCCGGAUUUAUUGGGUUUAAAGGGAGCGUAGGUGGAUUGUUAAGUCAGCUGUGAAAGUCCGCGGCUCAACCGUGGAAUUGCAGUUGAAACUGGAGG